AUAAAAUAAUGUGUGUAACUAGACCAAUGAACGAUAUCUGAAUAUAAAUGUGGUUAUCGUAUUACUGUUUGUUAUCAAAAAGCGAAAUUUUGAUUAUUUUGGUGAAAUACGGUAAUUUUGUUUGGCGCGAAUUGCUUCCCUCUAAUUUGGCGCUAUUAUUGGACAACGGGAAUUUCAAGGUCGCCAUUGCCGAGCAGCAUACUAAAUUGAUGAAUACGACCAUGUACAUGCAUAACAGACAUUGUGUCGAAUAUACAACGAUGAAGGUAGAGUUAUUACAUAAGAAAACAUAGAUUUCGAUAUAUUAGGCAGCCAAAUGUUAUCAGGAUCACGAAAAAUACAAAAAGGGGGGUUGUCUCAA
RNAcentral lists this long non-coding RNA (361 nucleotides) under Mytilus galloprovincialis (Mediterranean mussel). The record is from RNAcentral. Lineage: Eukaryota; Metazoa; Mollusca; Bivalvia; Mytilida; Mytilidae.